GAUGAACGCUGGCGGCGUGCCUAACACAUGCAAGUCGAGCGGAGGUUUCCGAAGUAGUAAUACGGAGGGGAUUUCAGCGGCGGACGGGUGAGUAACACGUGAGUAAUCUGCCUUCUGCAGGGGAAUAACAUUGUGAAAACAGUGCUAAUACCGCAUGACGUCCGACCGGGGCAUCCCGGAUGGACCAAAGGAGAAAUCCGGCAGGAGAUGAACUCGCGUCCGAUUAGCUAGUUGGCGGGUAACGCCCACCAAGGCUUCGAUCGGUAGCCGAACUGAGAGGUUGAUCGGCCACAUUGGGACUGAGACACGGCCCAGACACCUACGGGAGGCAG
This 332-nucleotide ribosomal RNA is filed under the name uncultured Bacillota bacterium. Its description in RNAcentral is "bacterial SSU rRNA". It matches the Rfam family "Bacterial small subunit ribosomal RNA", at positions 28 to 351 of the family's 1533-position model. The record is from RNAcentral. Lineage: Bacteria; Bacillati; Bacillota.